Molecule: ribosomal RNA, 490 nt
Filed under: uncultured bacterium
Lineage: Bacteria
Description: partial 16S ribosomal RNA
Rfam family: Bacterial small subunit ribosomal RNA
Source: RNAcentral
GAUGAACGCUCGCGAUAGGCUUAACACAUGCAAGUCGAGGGGCAGCAUGGUCUUAGCUUGCUAAGACUGAUGGCGACCGGCGCACGGGUGCGUAACGCGUAUGCAACUUGCCUCACAGAGGGGGAUAACCCGUCGAAAGACGGACUAAUACCGCGUACACUCCAUCUUGGGCAUCCAAGGUAGAGGAAAUGAAAUUCGCUGUGAGAUAGGCAUGCGUCCCAUUAGCUAGUUGGUGAGGUAACGGCUCACCAAGGCGACGAUGGGUAGGGGAACUGAGAGGUUGAACCCCCACACUGGUACUGAGACACGGACCAGACUACUACGGGAGGCAGCAGUGAGGAAUAUUGGUCAAUGGGCGAGAGCCUGAACCAGCCAAGUCGCGUGAAGGAUGACUGUCUUAUGGAUUGUAAACUUCUUUUAUACGGGAAUAACAAGAGUCACGGGUGACUCCCUGCAUGUACCGUAUGAAUAAGCAUCGGCUAACUCCGUG